This 497-nucleotide ribosomal RNA is filed under the name uncultured bacterium. RNAcentral's name for it is "partial 16S ribosomal RNA". It matches the Rfam family "Bacterial small subunit ribosomal RNA", at positions 28 to 507 of the family's 1533-position model. The record is from RNAcentral.
GAUGAACGCUGGCGGCGUGCCUAAUACAUGCCAGUCGAGCGAACAGACGAGGAGCUUGCUCCUCUGACGUUAGCGGCGGACGGGUGAGUAACACGUGGAUAACCUACCUAUAAGACUGGGAUAACUUCGGGAAACCGGAGCUAAUACCGGAUAAUAUAUUGAACCGCAUGGUUCAAUAGUGAAAGACGGUUUUGCUGUCACUUAUAGAUGGAUCCGCGCCGCAUUAGCUAAUUGGUAAGGUAACGGCUUACCAAGGCGACGAUGCGUAGCCGACCUGAGAGGGUGAUCGGCCACACUGGAACUGAGACAAGGUCCAGACUCCUACGGGAGGCAGCAGUAGGGAAUCUUCCGCAAUGGGCGAAAGCCUGACGGAGCAACGCCGCGUGAGUGAUGAAGGUCUUCGGAUCGUAAAACUCUGUUAUUAGGGAAGAACAAAUGUGUAAGUAACUAUGCACGUCUUGACGGUACCUAAUCAGAAAGCCACGGCUAACUACGUG